This 301-nucleotide ribosomal RNA is filed under the name uncultured bacterium. RNAcentral's name for it is "partial 16S ribosomal RNA". It matches the Rfam family "Bacterial small subunit ribosomal RNA", at positions 509 to 809 of the family's 1533-position model. The record is from RNAcentral.
CAGUCGCCGCGGGAAUACGGAGGGUGCAAGCGUUAUCCGGAUUUAUUGGGUUUAAAGGGUCCGUAGGCGGACUUAUAAGUCAGUGGUGAAAGCCUGUCGCUUAACGAUAGAACUGCCAUUGAUACUGUAAGUCUUGAGUAUAUUUGAGGUAGCUGGAAUAAGUAGUGUAGCGGUGAAAUGCAUAGAUAUUACUUAGAACACCAAUUGCGAAGGCAGGUUACCAAGAUAUAACUGACGCUGAGGGACGAAAGCGUGGGUAGCGAACAGGAUUAGAUACCCCCGUAGUCCCUGUCUCUUAUCC